CCUACGGGAGGCAGCAGUGAGGAAUAUUGGUCAAUGGGCGCGAGCCUGAACCAGCCAAGUAGCGUGAAGGAUGACUGCCUUACGGGUUGUAAACUUUUUCUAUAAAGGAAUAAAGUGAGGCACGUGUGCCUUUUUGUAUGUACUUUAUGAAUAAGGAUCGGCUAACUCCGUGCCAGCCGCCGCGGUAAUACGGAGGAUCCGAGCGUUAUCCGGAUUUAUUGGGUUUAAAGUGAGCGUAGAUGGGUUGUUAAGUCAGUUGUGAAAGUUUACGGCUCAACCGUAAAAUUGCAAUUGAUACUGGCAGUCUUGAGUACAGUUGAGGUAGGCAGAAUUCGUGGUGUAGCGGUGAAAUGCGUAGAUAUCACGAAGAACACCGAUUGCGAAGGCAGCUAACUAAACUGACACUGACAUUGAUGCUCGAAAGUGUGGGUAGCAAACAGGAUUAGAUACCCUAGUAGUC
This 460-nucleotide ribosomal RNA is filed under the name uncultured bacterium. Its description in RNAcentral is "partial 16S ribosomal RNA". It matches the Rfam family "Bacterial small subunit ribosomal RNA", at positions 338 to 795 of the family's 1533-position model. The record is from RNAcentral.